This 425-nucleotide ribosomal RNA is filed under the name uncultured bacterium. RNAcentral's name for it is "bacterial SSU rRNA". It matches the Rfam family "Bacterial small subunit ribosomal RNA", at positions 354 to 796 of the family's 1533-position model. The record is from RNAcentral.
GUGGGGAAUCUUAGACAAUGGGGGAAACCCUGAUCUAGCCAUGCCGCGUGAGCGAUGAAGGCCUUAGGGUUGUAAAGCUCUUUCAGCUGGGAAGAUAAUGACGGUACCAGCAGAAGAAGCCCCGGCUAACUCCGUGCCAGCAGCCGCGGUAAUACGGAGGGGGCUAGCGUUGUUCGGAAUUACUGGGCGUAAAGCGCACGUAGGCGGAUCAGAAAGUCAGAGGUGAAAUCCCAGGGCUCAACCUUGGAACUGCCUUUGAAACUCCUGGUCUUGAGGUCGAGAGAGGUGAGUGGAAUUCCGAGUGUAGAGGUGAAAUUCGUAGAUAUUCGGAGGAACACCAGUGGCGAAGGCGGCUCACUGGCUCGAUACUGACGCUGAGGUGCGAAAGCGUGGGGAGCAAACAGGAUUAGAUACCCCAGUAGUCC